GAUGAACGCUGGCGGCGUGCCUAAUACAUGCAAGUCGAGCGAACGGACGAGAAGCUUGCUUCUCUGAUGUUAGCGGCGGACGGGUGAGUAACACGUGUAUAACCUACCUAUAAGACUGGGAUAACUUCGGGAAACCGGAGCUAAUACCGGAUAAUAUUUUGCACCGCAUGGUUCAAAAGUGAAAGACGGUCUUGCUGUCACUUAUAGCUGGAUCCGCGCUGCAUUAGCUAGUUGGUAAGGUAACGGCUUACCAAGGCAACGAUGCAUAGCCGACCUGAGAGGGUGAUCGGCCACACUGGAACUGAGACACGGUCCAGACUCCUACGGGAGGCAGCAGUAGGGAAUCUUCCGCAAUGGGCGAAAGCCUGACGGAGCAACGCCGCGUGAGUGAUGAAGGUCUUCGGAUCGUAAAACUCUGUUAUUAGGGAAGAACAUAUGUGUAAGUAACUGUGCACAUCUUGACGGUACCUAAUCAGAAAGCCACGGCUAACUACGUG
RNAcentral lists this ribosomal RNA (497 nucleotides) under uncultured bacterium. Its description in RNAcentral is "partial 16S ribosomal RNA". It matches the Rfam family "Bacterial small subunit ribosomal RNA", at positions 28 to 507 of the family's 1533-position model. The record is from RNAcentral.